CAAAAGUCAAAACCAGUGAGUUUUAGUUUUUUUUUUCCCUUUUCUAAUUAAUUAAUUCGGUUAAGGUUAUUGUUAAUUUUAAUACUGUUAACUGUUAAGCUAAUUUUUUUGACGUUUCUUCCUCAGUCUCCAGACUCUCCACUGGAUCACGAUCAACACAGUCGGUGACUCGGUGUUUGAGUGUUUCUUCCUGAUCAGCCUCU
This 203-nucleotide long non-coding RNA is filed under the name Populus tremula. RNAcentral's name for it is "long non-coding RNA (PTRE_LNC003080)". The record is from RNAcentral. Lineage: Eukaryota; Viridiplantae; Streptophyta; Magnoliopsida; Malpighiales; Salicaceae.